Molecule: long non-coding RNA, 1320 nt
Filed under: Mus musculus (house mouse)
Lineage: Eukaryota; Metazoa; Chordata; Mammalia; Rodentia; Muridae
Description: predicted gene 12295
Source: RNAcentral
GAUUCACAGGCAGUUUUCUUUCUGCACAACAACACGGCUGAAGGACGGCUUGGUGGAGGCAGACUCCGUUUCCUAAGGGCUUAUCCCAAGUUAGAGUUCAGAGGGAAGGGAAUAGAACGCGACUUGUCCACCAAACAAAAUAUGCGUGUUACUACAGUUGUAUGUAGUGGUCAGGCAAAAAGAAAAUCAGAACUUCCAAAGCUGGAGUGUCAGGUGGUUGUGAACUACUCAACCUGGUUCCUGGGAACCAAACUCAGGUCCUCCGCCAAAGGAGCACAUGCACUUAGCCACUGAGUCAUCUCUGAAGUCCCAGAAACCUCUGAAUGCCCAGGUGACAAGACCAAGGCUGAGAGACUAGGAAAGGGCUAAGAAUCUGAGUCACUGGCUGAGCAAACUACAGGUCAAUGGUGGACCUUCUCAAAAGCAAUACAUAAAUGAUCGAGGAACAAAAGCAUCACAUCAUCAACUUUUGCCCUCCACAACUGCCUACAGAGAAUUGGAGAAUUUCUAUUUACCCAGAAGUAAAUAUUAUGAAGAAAACAUUGGGCUGCUCAAAAGUAGACCUAGGAAAAUGCAGAUGUAGUUUUUGUUAGAAUCAAUUGCACAAUGGACUCUGCAUACUAAUAAGUUGAGAUUUCUUUGAAAUACAGUAUAGAGAUUAAGUUCUUCACAACUCCUCACCUGCCUAGUUGAUCAGCCCAGCCAUUCUUUCCAUUUAUCUUCUGCAAUCAAGAGAAACUCUUCUGGACAAAAAGAUGUCCUCUGCAGAUGGCACCAGUCAAAAGAACCCAGUAAACACCAAACCUUGGUCUGCAGACAUCAGGAUGUCCCCAGAUGUGGUGUCAUUUCCAACUUGAGAGCAAUGGAGCUAUUUUUGAAUGCUGUUAGUGCCAAGACCUACACCUUCGUGACUAGUGUCCUCACAUUAACCCAAAUCGUUAAUCCACUUCUGAGAAGUUCUAGUGGCCCAAAAGUAAACCUACACAGACUAUUACAUUCAUAUUCUUACAUAAGGUGAACCAGAAGUAGACUCUAGUCAAAAGCGAAGAAAGUUAUACAAUGCUUAUUUGGUCCCCUACACAUAAAAGACUUGAAAAUUUGAGGGUUGAGGAAAUUGCCUGUUUUCAUUAUAUUUAUAUAUAAGAACCAAUCAGCAAUAUCUUUAAAAAGAAAGGAGCCGGGCGGUAGUGGAGCACGCCUUUAAUCCCAGCACUUGGGAGGUAGAGGCAGACAGAUUCUGAGUUCGAGGUCAGCCUGGUCUACAAAGUGAGUUCCAGGACAGCCAGGGCUAUACAGAAAAACCCUGUCUCAAAAAAAAAA